GAUGAACGCUGGCGGCGUGCCUAAUACAUGCAAGUCGAGUGAACGGACGAGAAGCUUGCUUCUCUGAUGUUAGCGGCGGACGGGUGAGUAACACGUGGAUAACCUACCUAUAAGACUGGGAUAACUUCGGGAAACCGGAGCUAAUACCGGAUAAUAUUUUGAACCGCAUGGUUCAAAAGUGAAAGACGGUCUUGCUGUCACUUAUAGAUGGAUCCGCGCUGCAUUAGCUAGUUGGUAAGGUAACGGCUUACCAAGGCAACGAUGCAUAGCCGACCUGAGAGGGUGAUCGGCCACACUGGAACUGAGACACGGUCCAGACUCCUACGGGAGGCAGCAGUAGGGAAUCUUCCGCAAUGAGCGAAAGCCUGACGGAGCAACGCCGCGUGAGUGAUGAAGGUCUUCGGAUCGUAAAACUCUGUUAUUAGGGAAGAACAUAUGUGUAAGUAACUGUGCACAUCUUGACGGUACCUAAUCAGAAAGCCACGGCUAACUACGUG
RNAcentral lists this ribosomal RNA (497 nucleotides) under uncultured bacterium. Its description in RNAcentral is "partial 16S ribosomal RNA". It matches the Rfam family "Bacterial small subunit ribosomal RNA", at positions 28 to 507 of the family's 1533-position model. The record is from RNAcentral.